UAAGAUGAUAUUUUCUGACAACCCACUUGGUCUGACUUGUGGAAUGGUAUGUCCAACCUCUGAUCUUUGUGUAGGUGGAUGCAAUUUAUAUGCCACUGAAGAGGGACCCAUUAAUAUUGGUGGAUUGCAGCAAUUUGCUACUGAGACUUUGAUCCUGGCUUUCUCUUUAAUGAAUCAUUUGUAAAGACUUUGAUUCUCCAGACACUCUUGGGCUCUCUGACGUCUCCUAUUUGGAGUCAACAAGCAGGUAUUCAAAGCAAUGAGUAUCCCACAGAUCAGAAAUCCUUCCCUGCCUCCCCCAGAAAAAAUGUCUGAAGCCUAUUCUGCAAAGAUUGCUCUUUUUGGUGCUGGGCCUGCAAGUAUAAGUUGUGCUUCCUUUUUGGCUCGAUUGGGAUACUCUGACAUCACUAUAUUUGAAAAACAAGAAUAUGUUGGUGGUUUAAGUACUUCUGAAAUUCCUCAGUUCCGGCUGCCGUAUGAUGUAGUGAAUUUUGAGAUUGAGCUAAUGAAGGACCUUGGUGUAAAGGUAAAUGAAAAAAACACCUAUCUGUGUACUGCUCAAAAAGAAAGGAGUAAGCUCUACACUAAAGAUUAACAGCAAAUGUCACGUAUUUUAGGAAAGAACAAUUAAAAGCUACAACAGGCAGAAGCAGAAAGAUGCUUCCCCUUGCUUAGGGCAUUUGUCUGUCUACUGUCUGAAUGCCACUAGCCUGGAAAAGGGCAAUCAAUAGUUCUCAUCUGGCAUGCCUGCAUGUGAUUAAUUGUCUGUAAGAAACACAUUCCUAAAUUGCUUUAGGGGUUCAGUGCAGCUAAUAGAAGGAUUCGGUUUCUUUAAUCACGUUUUUUCAUGCAAGUUGUGUGCACUCUGAAACAUUAGUAUUUCACAAUUUGGAACAUAAUUUCUUACGGAGAUUUAUUUUAUUUAUUAUAUUCGUCAUGUCAGUAGUGUGAAUGUGAUAAUCCUUUCUCAACACAAGCAGUAAAUCAGUGGGAUAGAAAGCAACAGCUUCGUAUUUUUUAUUAUUUUGUUAAAUAA
This 1036-nucleotide small RNA is filed under the name Pan troglodytes (chimpanzee). RNAcentral describes it as "retained intron". The record is from RNAcentral. Lineage: Eukaryota; Metazoa; Chordata; Mammalia; Primates; Hominidae.